AUGUUCUUCAUAACUCAAAGAAUUUGGCGGUAAAUUUUAAUUUUCAGAGGAACCUGUUCAUUAAUUGAUAAACCACGAUAGUUUACACUUAGAUUUUACUUAUAUACCGCUAUUUUUUGGAAUGUUUUAUAAGAAUUAUUUUCUUUUGAUUUUUUUCCUUAUAUUAGGUCAAGGUGUAGUUUUAUUUAAAGCUUGUAUGGGUUACUUUAUUUAUAAUUGUUAAUUAUGAAUGAUAGUUGAUUUUUUUAUUAUUUAGGAUUUGAAAGUAAUUCUAAUUAAUUAAUUAUUGUGAAUUUUUAAAUUAU
Molecule: ribosomal RNA, 305 nt
Filed under: Deiroderes inermis
Lineage: Eukaryota; Metazoa; Arthropoda; Insecta; Hemiptera; Membracidae
Description: partial 12S ribosomal RNA
Source: RNAcentral